Molecule: transfer RNA, 74 nt
Filed under: Agelas schmidtii (Pipes of Pan sponge)
Lineage: Eukaryota; Metazoa; Porifera; Demospongiae; Agelasida; Agelasidae
Description: tRNA-Gln
Rfam family: tRNA
About the family: Transfer RNA (tRNA) molecules are approximately 80 nucleotides in length.
Source: RNAcentral
UAGGGGCUAGCCAAAGUAGGUAAGGCUUUAAGUUUUGAUCUUAAUUAUUGUGGGUUCGAGUCCCGUGCCUCUAU